GCCCCGGUAGCUCAGAGGAAGAGCGCCCUUUUCGUAAAGGGGUAGCCGCAGGUUCGAGACCUGCCCGGGGUA
This 72-nucleotide transfer RNA is filed under the name Chloroflexota bacterium. Its description in RNAcentral is "Chloroflexi bacterium (groundwater metagenome) tRNA-Thr". It matches the Rfam family "tRNA". Rfam says of the family: Transfer RNA (tRNA) molecules are approximately 80 nucleotides in length. Their secondary structure includes four short double-helical elements and three loops (D, anti-codon, and T loops). Lineage: Bacteria; Bacillati; Chloroflexota. The record is from RNAcentral.